CCUACGGGAGGCAGCAGUGGGGAAUAUUGGACAAUGGGCGAAAGCCUGAUCCAGCAAUGCCGCGUGAGUGAUGAAGGCCUUCGGGUCGUAAAGCUCUUUUACCAGGGAUGAUAAUGACAGUACCUGGAGAAUAAGCUCCGGCUAACUCCGUGCCAGCAGCCGCGGUAAUACGGAGGGAGCUAGCGUUGUUCGGAAUUACUGGGCGUAAAGAGUACGUAGGCGGUUAUUCAAGUCAGAGGUGAAAGCCCGGGGCUCAACCCCGGAACUGCCUUUGAAACUAGAUAACUAGAGUCUUGGAGAGGUUAGUGGAAUUCCGAGUGUAGAGGUGAAAUUCGUAGAUAUUCGGAAGAACACCAGUGGCGAAGGCGACUAACUGGACAAGUACUGACGCUGAGGUACGAAAGCGUGGGGAGCAAACAGGAUUAGAUACCCUGGUAGUCCACGCCGUAAACGAUGAUAACUAGUUGUUCGGUCACUUGGUGUACUGAGUGACGACAGCUACGACAUUAAGUUAUCCGUCCGUCGGGUAGGUACGGUCGCGAGAUUAAACUUAAAGUAAGUAGUAGACGNGUGAGACGCGACGACGACGACGACGAGGAGAG
RNAcentral lists this ribosomal RNA (602 nucleotides) under uncultured bacterium. Its description in RNAcentral is "bacterial SSU rRNA". The stretch from base 1 to 520 matches the Rfam family "Bacterial small subunit ribosomal RNA", at positions 338 to 873 of the family's 1533-position model. The record is from RNAcentral.